This 497-nucleotide ribosomal RNA is filed under the name uncultured bacterium. RNAcentral describes it as "partial 16S ribosomal RNA". It matches the Rfam family "Bacterial small subunit ribosomal RNA", at positions 28 to 507 of the family's 1533-position model. The record is from RNAcentral.
GAUGAACGCUGGCGGCGUGCCUAAUACAUGCAAGUCGAGCGAACAGACGAGGAGCUUGCUCCUCUGACGUUAGCGGCGGACGGGUGAGUAACACGUGGAUAACCUACCUAUAAGACUGGGAUAACUUCGGGAAACCGGAGCUAAUACCGGAUAAUAUAUUGAACCGCAUGGUUCAAUAGUGAAAGACGGUUUUGCUGUCACUUAUAGAUGGAUCCGCGCCGCAUUAGCUAGUUGGUAAGGUAACGGCUUACCAAGGCAACGAUGCGUAGCCGACCUGAGAGGGUGAUUGGCCACACUGGAGCUGAGACACGGUCCAGACUCCUACGGGAGGCAGCAGUAGGGAAUCUUCCGCAAUGGGCGAAUGCCCAACGGAGCAACGCCGCGUGAGUGAUGAAGGUCUUCGGAUCGUAAAACUCUGUUAUUAGGGAAGAACAAAUGUGUAAGUAACUAUGCACGUCUUGACGGUACCUAAUCAGAAAGCCACGGCUAACUACGUG